UUAAAUACAUACAGAAUUAUGUCAGAACCGUAAAGUAAUAUUAAUUCAGGCAACGUAUUUUUUAAAAUACGUUGCCUGAAUUAAUAUUACUUUACGGUUCUGACAUGUUUAAAAACAUGC
RNAcentral lists this microRNA precursor (120 nucleotides) under Paramuricea clavata. Lineage: Eukaryota; Metazoa; Cnidaria; Anthozoa; Malacalcyonacea; Plexauridae. The record is from RNAcentral.